GUGGGGAAUUUUGGACAAUGGGGGCAACCCUGAUCCAGCCAUUCCGCGUGAGUGAAGAAGGCCUUCGGGUUGUAAAGCUCUUUCGGCAGGAACGAAACGGUGAGCUCUAACAUAGCUCGCUAAUGACGGUACCUGAAGAAGAAGCACCGGCUAACUACGUGCCAGCAGCCGCGGUAAUACGUAGGGUGCGAGCGUUAAUCGGAAUUACUGGGCGUAAAGCGUGCGCAGGCGGUUGUGUAAGACAGGUGUGAAAUCCCCGGGCUUAACCUGGGAACUGCGAUUGUGACUGAACGGCUAGAGUAUGGCAGAAGGGGGUGGAAUUCCACGUGUAGCAGUGAAAUGCGUAGAGAUGUGGAGGAACACCGAUGGCGAAGGCAGCCCCCUGGGCCAAUUCUGACGCUCAUGCACGAAAGCGUGGGGAGCAAACAGGAUUAGAAACCCGUGUAGUCC
RNAcentral lists this ribosomal RNA (450 nucleotides) under uncultured bacterium. RNAcentral describes it as "partial 16S ribosomal RNA". It matches the Rfam family "Bacterial small subunit ribosomal RNA", at positions 354 to 796 of the family's 1533-position model. The record is from RNAcentral.